Molecule: long non-coding RNA, 218 nt
Filed under: Elaeis guineensis (African oil palm)
Lineage: Eukaryota; Viridiplantae; Streptophyta; Magnoliopsida; Arecales; Arecaceae
Description: long non-coding RNA (EGUI_LNC037302)
Source: RNAcentral
CACUAUGGUGACUUGUAAGCAACUCACUGUACUUUAGUAUUAGACCAUCUGAGUUUCUAACAUAGUAUCGAAAGAUUACUGGGUGUAGUCAAGUACUUAUCAAGUCGAUGUGUGAGUCAAGAUGGAAUUGAUUCCUUUGAAUUAGUAGGAGAUAUACAUCAGUGUAUUUCAAUUCAGUAAAAUCUUGGCCAGGAUAAUCCAUGAGAUAGAUUUGAAAG